AUUGCCUUAGUAACUGCGAGUGAAGCGGCAAAAGCUCAAAUUUGAAAUCUGGCGUCUUCGGCGUCCGAGUUGUAAUUUGGAGGGGCAUCUUCGGAGUUGGCGCCGUCCUAAGUUCCUUGGAACAGGACGUCAUAGAGGGUGAGAAUCCCGUGCCUGGAUGGCUGUCCAUCUCCAUGUGAAGUGUCUCCGACGAGUCGAGUUGUUUGGGAAUGCAGCUCAAAAUGGGUGGUAAAUUUCAUCUAAAGCUAAAUAUUGGCGAGAGACCGAUAGCGCACAAGUAGAGUGAUCGAAAGAUGAAAAGCACUUUGAAAAGAGAGUUAAAAAGUACGUGAAAUUGUUGAAAGGGAAGCGCUUGAGACCAGACUCAAUCUUUGGUGAUCAGCUGUGCUUCUGUACAGUGCACUUGCCUUUGAUUGGGCCAGCAUCGGUUCUGACGGUGGGAUAAAAGGCGGAGGAAUGUGGCUCUCUUCGGGGAGUGUUAUAGCCUCUGUCAUAAUGCCGCCAGUUGGGACCGAGGACCGCGCUUCGGCUAGGAUGCUGGCGUAAUGGUCUUAAGCGACCCGUCUUGAAACACGGACCAAGGAGUCUAACAUCUAUGCGAGUGUUCGGGUGGAAAACCCUUGCGCGUAAUGAAAGUGAACGGAGGUGUGAACCCCUCGGGGUGCAACAUCGACCGAUCCUGAUGUCUUCGGAAGGAUUUGAGUAAGAGCAUAGCUGUUGGGACCCGAAAGAUGGUGAACUAUGCCUGAAUAGGGUGAAGCCAGAGGAAACUCUGGUGGAGGCUCGCAGCGGUUCUGACGUGCAAAUCGAUCGUCAAAUUUGGGUAUAGGGGCGAAAGACUAAU
RNAcentral lists this ribosomal RNA (844 nucleotides) under Cheilymenia sclerotiorum. Its description in RNAcentral is "eukaryotic LSU rRNA". It matches the Rfam family "Eukaryotic large subunit ribosomal RNA", at positions 74 to 935 of the family's 3401-position model. The record is from RNAcentral. Lineage: Eukaryota; Fungi; Ascomycota; Pezizomycetes; Pezizales; Pyronemataceae.